RNAcentral lists this long non-coding RNA (899 nucleotides) under Anser brachyrhynchus (Pink-footed goose). RNAcentral describes it as "lncRNA (ENSABRG00000017919.1)". The record is from RNAcentral. Lineage: Eukaryota; Metazoa; Chordata; Aves; Anseriformes; Anatidae.
CUUUGAUAUUAAUUCAAAAUAUGUAGCCCUGUUCAUCUUCGCAGAUUCGGGAUCAUGCCCCGACAAGCACGCUCCUGUACUUGCCGCAGUGGGAUGCCGGCGCCUGGCCCUCGACUGGAUCGGCGUGGGCUGAAUGCCCUCUACCGGGGGAAUCCAUCUUGAGCGAUCCACAGCGCGGACUGGGAGGCUUUGCCUGCCUCGCCUGCAUCUCCUUUGCAUCAAAACACAGCGGGGGACGAGGGGAGGGGGAGACCAGACUAAAUAACGCCGAAGUGCCUUCAGCAAGGGGCAGCAGGGAGGAAAUCGGUGGUGCUCCUCUCAGCUGUGCUGCUUCAGUGAGAGAAGCGGGAGAAAGCUUGUCAGGCUCCUCUCCCCUGCCACCGUAUAGGCCAGGCAUCGGCCCCAGCUUUGCUCUUCGUGUUGCCCACAGACAUGUUGCCAUGCUACCAUGUUAGGAGUUUCACCCCCAUCACAUGCAGCAGACACCAGGCUUCCUUGUGCGAGAGAGAUCUGAAGUGCUGUGCUGGGACCCCCCCUCAAGUUUAAUAACACCCUUGCUGGUUGCUGCUCAACCGGGCUAUGAAAGGCGACAAAGAUGGCGGCAGGAGAGCAGCAUGGAGCUGCCCACCUUGUCCUUCCCUGUCCUGGCCUGCUGCACUUGCAAUUCCUUUGUCCCAGCCCAGGCAACUUCAAAAGCUUUGUACCAGUCUUCUUGUUGUAUAGGAUGCAAGGGGAUCCGUCAUCUGAGAUAGCAUCCCUGCCAUGAGCCAUUUAUCGCAACAAAAGACACUGUGUUAACGACACAGCUCAUCAUCAGUCAGUCCCGGUGCAGAAGAUGUCAGAUCCACUGCUGGAGAACAAGGAUAAUUUGGACUUUGCUUUUUGAAAUGGAAAGAUGG